CCGCCGCUUCAUUUUUUCCCUUUACUUUUGCUUGGCUUCUUCUCUGUAACAUAUGCCUCUGUUUGAGAUGGUUCUUCGACGUGCUGGUGACAAAGAAACGAAACCCUUCUAGUUCAAUUUGGCCCAUGUCCCUCAAGAAGAUUCCUCUCCCGUCGUUACUUUCUCCCUUCGAGGUAAGAUCCCUCCACCGUGACCAACAUCUUCGUGGUAAAAUUCUUCCCCAUUAUGAGUUAACAUUCUUUCUCCUUUCAUUGCUCCAGAAAACAUAGAGCCUCUAUGAAGAGAGAUUCACAUUUGUUGUCACAUCUCUUCAACUUGUGGUGAGUUGAAUCUGAUCUAAUUCCCCCAAAUAUGGAACCCUAAUUCAGUAAUUUGUAUUUACCCAAAUCUUUGCCUCACAUGAUACAAGAGUAUAUCUCUGAUUUGUUUUAUUUCAAUUGCAGAAAUGAAACUAAAAAGUUAAAAGUUUGCUUUCAGGUAUGAACAUCAAAGUUUAUUGUUGUUAAAAUUUAAGGUAGCGUGUAAUUUGAUAGAUAUUAAUAUCAUUGGAUCUGGCUUGUUUAGUGUGGCAGACGUUCUUGGGUGUGAUUAAUGCGGAUGCUUCUUUAAGUUUGAUGUAUUUUAUAGGGUGGUAUAUGGUCUUGGUUUUGACUUUUAUGCAGGCUGGUUUUGAGCAUGCUAGUAGUGUUCUUGAGGAUCUUGAAAUACUUCAAUUGAUACAUAAUAGAUAUUAUGGCUUUGUUUAAAUAUCAUGUCUUUAAUUAAGUUUGAUGUAUGUCUNNNNNNNNNNNNNNNNNNNNNNNNNNNNNNNNNNNNNNUUGCUAGAGUGGCGUCUUAAAUUACUUAUGCAGGCAGCAUGCUUUGAGAGUUGAGACAUAUAUCCUUCUCUAAUCUCUUUGUUGUUUCCCCUGUUUUCAUUGAAAUUUUCAUUCUAUUAAUAUUUGGUAAGGAAUUUCUUUUUGGACUUGUUUAAGUUAGCAUUUACUACUGUCUAUUUUUGAAAUGGUUUCAGAGUGUUGUAUAAACAAUAAUAACUAGAAGAAUAUGAAAGAGUUGCUUCUCUACUUGAUGAGGAGAGGAAGAGUAUGCUACUUCUAGUUGAUGAGAAGGACAAGCCUAUGUUGUUUCAAGUUGGCAAAU
This 1140-nucleotide long non-coding RNA is filed under the name Trifolium pratense (red clover). RNAcentral's name for it is "long non-coding RNA (TPRA_LNC001608)". Lineage: Eukaryota; Viridiplantae; Streptophyta; Magnoliopsida; Fabales; Fabaceae. The record is from RNAcentral.